ACCGUCGACAGUCAGGCAACGAGCGAGACCCACGCCAACAGUUGCCAGCUCGUCCUCCGGGAUGGUGGGGACACUGUUGGGACCGCCUCUGCUAAAGAGGAGGAAGGAAUGGGCAACGGUAGGUCAGCAUGCCCCGAAUUAACUGGGCUACACGCGGGCUACAAUGGGUGGGACAAUGGGUAUCGACACCGAAAGGUGAAGGCAAUCUCCUAAACCCAUCCUUAGUUCGGAUUGUGGGCUGCAACUCGCCCACAUGAAGCUGGAAUCCGUAGUAAUCGUGUUUCAAAAUAGCACGGUGAAUAUGUCCCUGCUCCUUGCACGAAUUCGCCG
RNAcentral lists this ribosomal RNA (330 nucleotides) under uncultured Methanomicrobiales archaeon. Its description in RNAcentral is "bacterial SSU rRNA". It matches the Rfam family "Archaeal small subunit ribosomal RNA", at positions 1023 to 1352 of the family's 1478-position model. Lineage: Archaea; Methanobacteriati; Methanobacteriota; Methanomicrobia; Methanomicrobiales. The record is from RNAcentral.